This 937-nucleotide long non-coding RNA is filed under the name Anser cygnoides (Swan goose). RNAcentral describes it as "lncRNA (ENSACDG00005006189.1)". The record is from RNAcentral. Lineage: Eukaryota; Metazoa; Chordata; Aves; Anseriformes; Anatidae.
CUCAGUGAUUACUGACAAUUUACAAUAUUGAUAUUAAUAUUGACAGCUCCGAGGGUCUGCAGUUAGUGAUCAGGAGAUGGUACUAAUUAGACGACAGAAUAUAUAUAUUUUAAACUACAGUUUCAGAAUUUAAUUUGAUAUCAGAACAACCAAAAGAGAAAUCAAAUACUUUUUUUUUUUUUUUUUUUUUAAUACACUGCAAUAGCAAGAGAUGGAGAAGAAACUACAGAACGGCUGCACAUGCCGAGCUUGCAGGAAAGGAAGAUCACUUGCCUCUAGCUGUUGAAUGGCCUUAAGGUGUCACAAUGCCUGGGCCAAAUGCAAAACCUUCUCCAGCUGAGAUGAGUUUAAUUGAGGAUCGUCCUCCUGAACCCUCUUCAGAGAUUCUGAAAUUGUACGCUUCUAUACACAGGGAAUAUAAGCGUUAUUUAUAAACACUUGCACUAGAAUUGGAAGAAAGAUUCUGCAGGAAUACUGGGGACCAGUAGAAAUCGCAAGAUUAUGGUAAUUAUAUUAUUUAACAAAUUUAAUAUGGAAAAGCCAAAUGCGAAGUAAAUAACCAGAUUAAUGAUAAAACUGUAUUUACUCCAAUAACAAAAAACAUCAUCUAGUUGAAUUUCCAGUUGAAUUUUUAAUAAGGCUAAGGCCAAGGACAGUGAAAACAUUAAAACAUACUAAAUUCUAGAAUCAAUAAUUGACAAAAUUAGGGUUGCUGGAACAACUUUCCACUAAUAUCAUGGACUUUGAAUCACUACUGACUUUUAAUAUAUUCCAUUUUACAGACAAUAUAAGAGGGAUACCAAUUCUCAUGGUGAAAUUCUCCACCAUGCAUCACUUAAAUAGCUUAAAGUGAUGCACAGACCAUGUUCUGGCCCCUACAGAAGGAUGAGUUCAUCUUAAUUUGUGGUAGAUAAAUUAUACCUGACUUCAAGCAGAC